Molecule: ribosomal RNA, 468 nt
Filed under: uncultured bacterium
Lineage: Bacteria
Description: partial 16S ribosomal RNA
Rfam family: Bacterial small subunit ribosomal RNA
Source: RNAcentral
GACGAACGCUGGCGGCGUGCUUAACACAUGCAAGUCGAACGGAAAGGCCCUGCUUUUGUGGGGUGCUCGAGUGGCGAACGGGUGAGUAACACGUGAGUAACCUGCCCUUGACUUUGGGAUAACUUCAGGAAACUGGGGCUAAUACCGGAUAGGAGCUCCUGCUGCAUGGUGGGGGUUGGAAAGUUUCGGCGGUUGGGGAUGGACGCGCGGCCUAUCAGCUUGUUGGUGGGGUAGUGGCUUACCAAGGCUUUGACGGGUAGCCGGCCUGGGAGGGUGACCGGCCACAUUGGGACUGAGAUACGGCCCAGACUCCUACGGGAGGCAGCAGUGGGGAAUAUUGCACAAUGGGCGGAAGCCGUAUGCAGCAACGCCGCGUGCGGGAUGACGGCCUUCGGGUUGUAAACCGCUUUCGCCUGUGACGAAGCGUAAGUGACGGUAAUGGGUAAAGAAGCACCGGCUAACUACGUG